Molecule: ribosomal RNA, 253 nt
Filed under: uncultured bacterium
Lineage: Bacteria
Description: partial 16S ribosomal RNA
Rfam family: Bacterial small subunit ribosomal RNA
Source: RNAcentral
UACGUAGGGGGCAAGCGUUAUCCGGAUUUAUUGGGUGUAAAGGGCGUGUAGGCGGGAAUGCAAGUCAGAUGUGAAAACUCAGGGCCCAACCCUGAGCCUGCAUUUGAAACUGUAUUUCUUGAGUGCUGGAGAGGCAAUCGGAAUUCCGUGUGUAGCGGUGAAAUGCGUAGAUAUACGGAGGAACACCAGUGGCGAAGGCGGAUUGCUGGACAGUAACUGACGCUGAGGCGCGAAAGCGUGGGGAGCAAACAGG